Molecule: transfer RNA, 70 nt
Filed under: Cricetulus griseus (Chinese hamster)
Lineage: Eukaryota; Metazoa; Chordata; Mammalia; Rodentia; Cricetidae
Rfam family: tRNA
About the family: Transfer RNA (tRNA) molecules are approximately 80 nucleotides in length. Their secondary structure includes four short double-helical elements and three loops (D, anti-codon, and T loops).
Source: Rfam by way of RNAcentral
GGGGCUGUAGCUCAGUGGCAGAGCAUUUGCCUAGUACAUGCAGAGGCUUUGGGUUUGAAUCCCAGCACCA